This is a long non-coding RNA of Alligator sinensis (Chinese alligator), 496 nucleotides long. RefSeq lists it as uncharacterized. The transcript is spliced from 4 exons. The record is from RefSeq and is a predicted model, not a curated record. Lineage: Eukaryota; Metazoa; Chordata; Crocodylia; Alligatoridae.
GGGCGCGGCCCGGGGCGUCUCUGCGCUACGUGCGGAAACGUGAAGGUGGCCUCUCGGUUACAAACGAGCAAAGGACAAAAGACUGGAGUGGUGCUAGCCCGGGCUGCUGCAGCAACCUCACUGCGGCAACAACACGUAUGAAACCUGGAACAGAUCAAAUAACUUCAGGGCUCCAGAACGCUACAAGGCCAAGCAAGAGAGGACCUCUGACAUGGAGCUGAAGAGCCAGGUGGCAAGAGGAAGAGGGAGAGGAAAUCUCUUCGGUGUGUGUCUGCGAGCACAUGCAUACCCACACUAAGUCAACCUGCUCUAUUUAUGUAGGUUGGAAGAAAUUAGACAACUUUCUCCCACGGUAAAAAAGGAAAAUACCCACUCUGUACCAUCUGCAGCCAUGCUCAGUCAUAAAGAAUUGACAAGUUAUUUGUUCUUUGCUUUCAGUACCCGAGGAACCUGGCAGUCUUUUAUGACAUUUUCUGGAGCUGAGGCUUCAACCCAG